UACGUAGGGGGCAAGCGUUGUCCGGAAUUAUUGGGCGUAAAGAGCUCGUAGGCGGUUUGUCGCGUCUGCUGUGAAAACUGGAGGCUCAACCUCCAGCCUGCAGUGGGUACGGGCAAACUAGAGUGCGGUAGGGGAGAUUGGAAUUCCUGGUGUAGCGGUGGAAUGCGCAGAUAUCAGGAGGAACACCGGUGGCGAAGGCGGGUCUCUGGGCCGAUACUGACGCUGAGGAGCGAAAGCGUGGGGAGCGAACAGG
This 253-nucleotide ribosomal RNA is filed under the name uncultured bacterium. RNAcentral describes it as "partial 16S ribosomal RNA". It matches the Rfam family "Bacterial small subunit ribosomal RNA", at positions 524 to 776 of the family's 1533-position model. The record is from RNAcentral.